AUGCAGUCGACGAUGAAGCCCUUCGGGGUGGAUUAGUGGCGAACGGGUGAGUAACACGUGGGAAUCUGCCCUUCACUCUGGGACAAGCCCUGGAAACGGGGUCUAAUACCGGAUAUGACCAUCUUGGGCAUCCUUGAUGGUGUAAAGCUCCGGCGGUGAAGGAUGAGCCCGCGGCCUAUCAGCUUGUUGGUGAGGUAAUGGCUCACCAAGGCGACGACGGGUAGCCGGCCUGAGAGGGCGACCGGCCACACUGGGACUGAGACACGGCCCAGACUCCUACGGGAGGCAGCAGUGGGGAAUAUUGCACAAUGGGCGAAAGCCUGAUGCAGCGACGCCGCGUGAGGGAUGACGGCCUUCGGGUUGUAAACCUCUUUCAGCAGGGAAGAAGCGAGAGUGACGGUACCUGCAGAAGAAGCGCCGGCUAACUACGUGCCAGCAGCCGCGGUAAUACGUAGGGCGCAAGCGUUGUCCGGAAUUAUUGGGCGUAAAGAGCUCGUAGGCGGCUUGUCACGUCGGGUGUGAAAGCCCGGGGCUUAACCCCGGGUCUGCAUUCGAUACGGGCUAGCUAGAGUGUGGUAGGGGAGAUCGGAAUUCCUGGUGUAGCGGUGAAAUGCGCAGAUAUCAGGAGGAACACCGGUGGCGAAGGCGGAUCUCUGGGCCAUUACUGACGCUGAGGAGCGAAAGCGUGGGGAGCGAACAGGAUUAGAUACCCUGGUAGUCCACGCCGUAAACGGUGGGAACUAGGUGUUGGCGACAUUCCACGUCGUCGGUGCCGCAGCUAACGCAUUAAGUUCCCCGCCUGGGGAGUACGGCCGCAAGGCUAAAACUCAAAGGAAUUGACGGG
Molecule: ribosomal RNA, 844 nt
Filed under: Streptomyces sp.
Lineage: Bacteria; Bacillati; Actinomycetota; Actinomycetes; Kitasatosporales; Streptomycetaceae
Description: bacterial SSU rRNA
Rfam family: Bacterial small subunit ribosomal RNA
Source: RNAcentral